CGUGGGGAACCUGCCCCAUAGUCUGGAUACCACUUGGAAACAGGUGCUAAUACCGGAUAAGAAAGCAGAUCGCAUGAUCAGCUUUUAAAAGGCGGCGUAAGCUGUCGCUAUGGGAUGGCCCCGCGGUGCAUUAGCUAGUUGGUAAGGUAAAGGCUUACCAAGGCGAUGAUGCAUAGCCGAGUUGAGAGACUGAUCGGCCACAUUGGGACUGAGACACGGCCCAAACUCCUACGGGAGGCAGCAGCG
This 246-nucleotide ribosomal RNA is filed under the name uncultured Lactobacillus sp. RNAcentral describes it as "partial 16S ribosomal RNA". It matches the Rfam family "Bacterial small subunit ribosomal RNA", at positions 116 to 356 of the family's 1533-position model. The record is from RNAcentral. Lineage: Bacteria; Bacillati; Bacillota; Bacilli; Lactobacillales; Lactobacillaceae.